RNAcentral lists this ribosomal RNA (254 nucleotides) under uncultured bacterium. RNAcentral's name for it is "partial 16S ribosomal RNA". It matches the Rfam family "Bacterial small subunit ribosomal RNA", at positions 524 to 776 of the family's 1533-position model. The record is from RNAcentral.
UACAGAGGUCUCAAGCGUUGUUCGGAUUCAUUGGGCGUAAAGGGUGCGUAGGUGGCAUGGUAAGUCGGAUGUGAAAUCCAGGGGCUCAACCCCGGAACUGCAUUCGAUACUGCUGCGCUAGAGUACUGGAGAGGAGAUUGGAAUUUACGGUGUAGCAGUGAAAUGCGUAGAUAUCGUAAGGAAGACCAGUGGCGAAGGCGGGUUGCUGGGCUGACACUGACGCUGACAGCGCGAAAGCUAGGGGAGCGAACGGG